CGAACGGGUGAGUAACGCGUGAGGAACCCGCCUCAAAGAGGGGGACAACAGUUGGAAACGACUGCUAAUACCGCAUAAGCCCACGGCUCGGCAUCGAGCAGAGGGAAAAGGAGUGAUCCGCUUUGAGAUGGCCUCGCGUCCGAUUAGCUGGUUGGUGAGGUAACGGCCCACCAAGGCGACGAUCGGUAGCCGGACUGAGAGGUUGAACGGCCACAUUGGGACUGAGACACGGCCCAG
This 237-nucleotide ribosomal RNA is filed under the name uncultured bacterium. Its description in RNAcentral is "partial 16S ribosomal RNA". It matches the Rfam family "Bacterial small subunit ribosomal RNA", at positions 99 to 334 of the family's 1533-position model. The record is from RNAcentral.